CCUACGGGGGGCAGCAGUGGGGAAUAUUGCGCAAUGGGCGAAAGCCUGACGCAGCGACGCCGCGUGAGGGAUGAAGGUCUUCGGAUCGUAAACCUCUGUCAGCAGGGAAGAACGGUCACUGUGCUAAGCAGCAGUGAAUGGACGGUACCUGCAAAGGAAGCACCGGCUAACUCCGUGCCAGCAGCCGCGGUAAUACGGAGGGUGCGAGCGUUACUCGGAAUUACUGGGCGUAAAGCGCUCGUAGGCGGUAUGUCAAGGCAAGGGUGAAAGCCCCGCGCUCAACGUGGGAACUGCCUUUGAAACUGGCAAACUGGAUUGUGUGAGCGGUUAGUUGAAUUCCAGGUGU
This 346-nucleotide ribosomal RNA is filed under the name uncultured bacterium. Its description in RNAcentral is "partial 16S ribosomal RNA". It matches the Rfam family "Bacterial small subunit ribosomal RNA", at positions 338 to 676 of the family's 1533-position model. The record is from RNAcentral.